RNA transcript from Colossoma macropomum (tambaqui), 10444 nucleotides. It is a transcript of the gene named zinc finger MYM-type protein 4, with no coding region annotated. The record is from RefSeq and is a predicted model, not a curated record. The transcript is spliced from 24 exons. Lineage: Eukaryota; Metazoa; Chordata; Actinopteri; Characiformes; Serrasalmidae.
AGUGAGCUGCGGCGGAACCGCCAGCAACCGAAUCCGCGUCUGUAGCUCACAUUUCACCAAAGACCAGUUCCACAACUUCACUCAGGUGAAGCUGGGCUUCGGCAAGAAGCGCAAGCUCGUUGAUGGAGCUGUUCCGUCCCUCCCUCCGGUCCCUCUGAGCGCUGCCCGGCAGAGCCAGCAAAAUGUCAUCUCUAUGGCGGAAGAAUGCCGUAGAGAAGAGGAGCAGUCAUCAGGUGCUGAGAUGGAAAGGUCCGGCGAGGGUUCCCUGAGGUCCGUUGCCGAUUUGCCCGCAGAGUCCAGCAGCUCGUCCGAGCGGCCCCAGCGUGGCACCGAGGAAGACGAGCUGGAUGGGUUUCCUGUUUUUGGGGCGGAUGAAGAAGACUGGGAGAGCAGCUCCAGUCAGAGGGGCCGUCACAGUGAGGAGCAGGACGAGAGUGAAAGUCAGAGCAGGAAAGUCUCGCAACAGAGUGGAGCAAAUGCAGAUGACGAUGCUCAGCAGUCUCAAAUGGAGGAGGGCGCUUCACAGAACGAAACUAGUACGUCGUCACAGGAGCAAGGUGGAAGCUUUAGAGAGGAAACCCUGUAUUCUCCUUUAAUGAAAAUAAAGGAUGAGCCCAUAGACGAGGGCUAUGAUAAAGCCCUUAUCCCACCGUCUGACAUCAGCCGCGUUAAAGAGGAGCUUGAGAAUGGGGAACACGAGAUAGCAACACCUCCAGAUGAGCUGAGGAUCAGUUCUGUGUUCUCUGUUAGAGGAGCUGGUGAUCCCAUUUCUGGUUCUGUUGCAGUCUCACAGCCGCCUGCAUUCUCUACCAUGAGUCAGUCAACUUCAGCCAUUAAAGCACCUCUUAUGGUUCUGCCAGCCCAACCGCAGCCUCAGCUCCAAGCCAAGCCCUUGGCCCAGAUUCAGCUCCAGCUCCAGCCCCAACUCCAGCUCCAGACCCAGCCUCAGCCGCAACUCCAGCUCCAGACCCAGCCUCAGCCCCAGCUCCAGCUUCAGCCUCAGCUGCAGCCCCAGCCUCCUCCUGCAUCAAUACGAAUCUGCUGCUCAGGCUGCUCCAAGGUCCUGCAGAAAGGCCAAACAGCGUUCCAGAGGAAAGGCUCUAACCAGCUCUUCUGCUCCACUGUCUGUCUGACUGGAUUCAACCUGCCUCCAACCAUCAGUAUUGCCCCAAAGAAAACUUGCCACCUCUGCCUCAAGGUGAUUGGGAAUCCAAAGGACUUGAUAACCGUUCCAGUGGAUUCUUCGAACACGUUGAAGGAGUUUUGUAGCCAGGCCUGCCUGACCAUCUAUAGAUCCAGGGUUGAGGGCUUUAAUGAAGACAGCAUUGUUAGAUGCACCAUGUGCAGAAAUCCCAGUGAGAUCCAACACGAGGUCAAUCAUCAGGGUGUCCUUCACCGCCUCUGCAGUGACGAAUGUUUCUCCCGUUUCCGCUCGUCCAAAAGACUGUCCAUGAGCUGCUGUGAGAGUUGUGGUAACUGCACCGUCACGGGCAACUAUCAUCUCGUACAGAUCGAGGAUGCUGUUAAAAAGUUCUGCAGCCCAGUCUGCAUCAGCACAUAUAAACAGAAAAGUGGGAAGCGAGUUCACUGCCCCUACUGUCACGAGUUUAAAUCUGUGGACCAGAUGCUGGAGGGAACGAACGCACAGGGAGUCAUCGAGUUCUUCUGUUCCUCCAGAUGCGUGACCAACAGCCAGGCGUCUCGCACUCUCUCAGGUGCCUCAUUCCCAUGUACAAACUGCCAGAAGUUAGCUGUUCCUCAGUAUCACCUGGCUAUGCCUGAUGGAUCCAUCCGCAACUUUUGUUCGUACGAGUGUGCUUGCAGAUUCCAGGAGAAGCUACAAAGGGCACCAACCCAAAUGAAUGGAGGUUCCGCAGUUGCUCCAAAUACCACCCCAAAUAUGGGCCCUCGUGGACCCCAGUACUCCGUGUCAUCUCGUCCCCCUGCACCUCUUAAUGCUCCUAACCCUUCUGCUUCCUAUAUGGCCGCCUCGAGCCAGAAUCCUCCAUCUUUUGUGCCUACCUCAAAUCAAAACCCCAUUCCACCAUAUGUGCCAGCACCUGGACUGGCAAACCCACAGGACAGCCAGGAUCAGCAGCCAGACGCUCCAGCCUCAGCACAAAGCACCAUCAGGCUGACCUGCAAACAGUGCCAGAAGCAGUUCCGCUCCAAACCUGAGGUCCUGCAGUUUAAGAAUCACGUUGGGCUUUUCUGCUCACGCUUGUGUUGUGACACGUACAAGAGGGAGAAGGACGUUAGAGCAGUGUGCGAGUACUGCAAAGAAGAAAAAGUGCUCAAGGACAUCACUAUGUACGAACAUAAGCCACGGGCCUUUUGUUGCGAAGGCUGCAAACUGCUCUUCAAGCAUGACCUUUCCAAGCAGCAUGGGAGCCAGUGCAGGAUCUGUGCUUACUGCUGCAACAUGACCCACAGCACCAUCCAGAACCACUUUGGGGGCAAGCUGGAGGAGUUCUGCACUGAAGAGUGCAUGUCUCUCUACACUGUUCUCUUCUAUGAGAUGGCAAAGUGCUAUUGGUGUAAGACUCAGGGGACACUAAGUGAGAGCCUCAAGUGGGACGGAACAAUAAAACACUUCUGCAACCUGCGCUGCGUGCUGCAGUUUUGCUCCAAGAGUGUUGUCCCAGACCAACCCAACAGCAACGGUAUCACCACUUCUGCCACUGCAGCCCAAGCGCCAUUGUCUCUCUCUAAAGACAUGCCUGUCAUCGGUGGUGUUGUUUCACUGGCAUCCGCGCUGGCUGGUAACACUGCUCUUACAGGAGCACUUCCUACCUCUAAUGCCAGCUCGAAAAUCAUCGGUGAUGCCAGCACCCAGACAGAUGCUGCAGUGAAUGUUAGUCCUCAUCAGCGACGGAUGCUGAAGAACAAAGCUCUGAUGUGCAAACCUAUCAUUGAAGAGCAGGGCGUCCAGUGUCAACUUGAGCCUCCAAAACCGCUGUUUGAGACAGUGGUUGAUGAAAAUGGAGAGAAAGUGAAGCUGGUGCCGGUGCCUGUGCCGAUUCCAAUGCCUGUGUACAUUCCUGUGCCCAUGCACUUGUACACUCAGUUCACACCAGUGCCCCUAGGACUUCCUCUGCCUGUACCCGUGCCACUGGUCAUGCCAGCUUCCCCGGAGUCCACACAGGACAGUGUCACUAAAGGCAGCAUGCCCUCUCAGAGCUCAGUGGAGGACGAAGAGGCAGAAAAGAGUAAAGACAGGCCGGUGUCCCAUGGUGACCAGGGCAGUACUUACAGUGGGGACCUGGAGUCGGAGGCUAGGUCUACACCCUUCAGUUGGGCAGAUGCUGAGGAUUCUUCACAACAUCAUAAGCCAUCAGUCCCUUCAUCUCAGAUAGAGAGACCAGCCAGUUCUCCCACUGCAUCCACAUCACCCAGCCCACUAGAUUUGGAAAAGGACUUUCCUGUUGCCUCGAAUGAUUAUGGAUCCUCAAAGGAGCAGAAGUCACCAAAGCGCCGCAAGAGAGGAAAGCGGGCUACUGUUGUGGAAAAACUGAAGAAAAAACCGGAUACAGAACCAAAUUGCACACAGUCUUUCUCAGACACUGAUUUAGGACAGUCAAGCAUGGAAACAUGUCAAACUGAGACACUGGAUGCAAAUACUUCGAGUAACUUGGAGUAUAUUCUAACCGGUGAUGAGCAGGUUGAACCACAGAUGAAUUGUAAAUCUGGCCCACAGCUUAGGUCAUCAUCUCGGUCAAGGUCAUCUUCAAGGCCAAAUUUGAAACCAUAUGAAAUGGUUGGCAAUCAGAAAUCACGCACCAAAAGGCAAUUCUGUAUUUACUGUAAAGAGCCCAAUGCCAAAAUAGCAAGACAUUUAGAAUGCAAACACGCAACGGAAACAGAUGUUGCACAUGCCCUCCGUUUUCCAAAGGGAUCUAGAAAAAGACAUCUUUUACUUGAACGGCUUUGCAGAAAAGGCAAUUAUCAGGGUAAUAUCGAAGGUCUUCGGAAUGGAAAUAAAGAAAUUGUUCCUAAAACCCAAACAAAAGGCAACAAUUCCAUGAUGGAACUUUCGCCAUGCCAAUACUGCCUGGCUUUCUAUCGCCGACGUGCCUUGACAAAACAUGAACGCUCAUGCAAGAUGAAGAUGAAUUUGCGGUCCUGUUCAAAUUUUUUGCAACAACCGGAUACUAAGUGCUCCUCUCAGUCUGGUUUGGAGUCUAGUAUUGAACCUACAUCUGAACUGAGCUCCCAACCCCUUGCCACAUUAAGCCCGGUUCGAGUGCCAAAUCAGAGUUCCAGUCCUGAACCCAGACCACAACCUAAUCUUGACUCCAGCUCCCAACCCAGUAUCAGUUUCUGCCCUAAAUCCGUCACUCAACCCAAUAUUGAAAUCUUCUCUAUGCCAAGUACUCAGGUCAGUUCUGAACUCCUUAAAACACCCAGCCUUGAAUCAUGUGACAGGACUUCUCUCGGAUUUGAUCCACAACUUGGCCAGCCUUGUGCUGAAUCCCUCUAUCCACCUAUUUCUGAUCUUGGUCAACCACUUAGCCCUGAAUCAUGCCAUGAACCUAGUUUGGAGUCUAGUCCUGAAAUAAGCCUUCAAACUACUGAAUUCUCUAAUCAGGUCACUGAUAGAUCCAGUCUUCAGAAAAGUCCAUUUCCUAGUCCUGAAUCUCCUGACCCUAUCCCACAGCCUGAUAAACCACAUUUGGAAUCCCCUGCAAGAUCUGAUCCAGAUCUUGGACUGCCACUAUCUCUGGAUUCAUGUCUUCAGCUCACUUUUAAUUCAAGUCCAGAACCUAGCCCUCAGUCUCAUUUUGAAUCCUGUCUUCAAUUCAUGGAGACAUGCAGUCCAGAAACAGAUUAUCCCAAUUCUUGCCAACAAACUAGCCUCAGAAUCAGUCCUGAACCAAGCCCACAAACAAAGCAGGCAAGUUUUGAGUCAUGCCUUCCAUCCAGUGUGAAGUCCAGCUCUGAAUUUAGCCCACUAAUUCAGCCUGAACCAGGUCCUAGCUCUCAGCCUAAUCUUGAAACAGAUUCCUUGUCUGCUCCUGAAAUAUGCCACAACCCCAAUGCUGAGUUGCAUCCACAACUUACUCUUGAGUCCCGUGAGAUGGGAUGCAGUGUGAAAUCAAGUCCUCAGCCCAGUCCAAAACCAAAUACUGAACUUUGUCACCGUCCCGCAGUAAGACGCAAAUAUAACCGACGGACAAGUUUAUCAUGUUCAACGUACAACCUGAGAUCCAAGACAUCAGUGGUGCCCAAAGUCAGCCCAUAUAUUGAUAAAAAUGGGAACAAUGAACAAAAGCUGGAUGCAAAUGUCUCAAGUGCAUCUGAAAAGAAUCCGAUUUAUGAAAAACAGUCUACUUUUAACAUGGAUUCAGUUGGCAAGUCGGAUGGAAUGAGACAGUUGGAUAAGAGUGGUGAUGUCUCUUCAACUCUGAACUCAUGUUGCCGGAACAACAGUUCCAAGUCUGGGAUGAAAUCAUCCACAGAGAUCAGAACAAAGACUGUAUCAACCUCAAGUCCAGUGUCCACUCAAAGUUGCAGCAUAACCUGUACUACUUCAAGUUCAGUGCCAUCUCAGCAGUUAACUUUAAAUAAUAAAACACUUGGUGGUCACAAAUUAUUGAGCAAACAACAGUUCUGUGUCUACUGUAAGAAUCCCUACACCAAAAUAGCACGGCAUCUGAGGCAUCAACAUGCACAUGAAAAAGAUGUAGCACAUGCCCUGAGUUUUCCUAAGGGGUCUAAAAAAAGGCUUCUUUUGCUUGAACGACUGUGCAAAAAAGGCAAUUAUCAGCAUAAUAUUGAAGUUAUUCGGAAUGGAAAUGGAGAAAUUGUUCCUAAAAUCAGAAGAAAAGGGAAUCAUUCCAUGAUGGAGUAUUUGCCCUGCCAGUACUGCCUGGCUUUCUAUCUCCGACGUGCCUUGUUAAAACAUGAGCGCUCAUGCAAGAUGAAGAUGAAUUUGCAGUCGUGUUCAAAUUUUUUGCAACCACAGGAUGCCAAGUGCCACUCUCAAUCUGAUGUGGAGUCCAAGAUUGAACCUACAUCUGAACUGACCUCACAACCCCUUGCUAGAUUAAGCCCACUUCAUUUGCUAAAUCCAAGGUGCAGUCCAGAACCUAGACCACAUCCUAAUCUUGACUCUAGCCCCCAAACUAGUAUCAAUUUCUGUCCUGAUUCAAUCUCGCAACCCAGUCUUGAAUCCUCCUCUAUGCCAGAUGCUCAGUCUAGUUCUGAACUCCUAAAACAACCCAGUCUUGAAUCUUGUGACAGGACUGGUCUCGGAUCUGAUCUUGGACAAGGUGAACGAUUUGAUCAGCCUUGUGCUGAGUUGUUCAGUCCACUCAACUCUGAUCUUGGUCACCCUUUAAGUCCUGAAACAAGCCUUCACACUAGUAUUGAAUUCUCCUGUCAGGCUACUGACCAAUGCAGUCUUCUAAAAAGUAACUUUCCUAGUCCUGAAUCUUUCUGUCAAACUACCAGCGGAACAGUUCCUGAACCCAUCCCACAGCCGAAUAAACCAUGUUUGGAAUCCUCAGUGAAAUCUGAUCCAGAUCUUGGGCUCCCACUGUCUCUGGAUUCUUGUCAUCAACCCACGUUUAGUUCUAGUCCAGAACAUAGCCCUCAGUCUAGUUUUGAAUCCUGUCUUCAAUUCAUGGAAAGUUGCAGUACUGAAACAGAUUACCCCAAUUCUUGCCAACAAACCUGCCUCAGAAUCAGCCCCAAACCAAGCCCACGACAAAUCAGACAAGUUUUGAAUCAUGCCCUACAUCCAGUCUGAGGUCCAGCUCUGAACUCAGCCCACUACUUUGUCCUGAAUUUAUUCCUUGCUCUCAGCCAAGUCUUGACUCGUGCCUUCAGGCAGUUGUACAAGCCACUUCUGAAACGGAUCCGUUGCCUACUCCUGAAUCUUGCCACCGCCCCAGUGUUGAGUGGAACCCGCAAUCUUCGCCUGAAUCCCAUCUCAGAAGCAGUAAGUCAAGUCUACAGACCAACCCAAAACCUAAUUCUGAUCUCUACAACCAACUCAGUCCGAGUUGCAGGUAUAAACAACAUGCAAGUUUGAGAUCAUGUUCAGCAUACAACCUGAGAUCUAAGUUAUCACCCAUGCCCAAAGUCAGCCCAUAUAUUGAUAGAAGUGCUAAAAGUGAACAUGAGCUGGACUCGGAGAUCUCAAGUGGAUCUGAUUUUGGUCCGACUCAUGAUGAACAAUCCACUUGUAUCACGGAUGGCAAUUUAGAUGUAAUGAGUCAGUUGGCUGAGAAUUUUGAUCUCAAAUCAACUCUGAGCUCAUCAUCUUGCCAGAACCGCAGUUCCUAUUCUGAGAUUGGGCCAACCACAGAGAACAGAACAAAAGCUGAGUCACCCUCAAGUCCAGUGUCCACUCAAAGUUCAAAAAGCCAGAAUCUCAUGUCAGAUUUAUUGCUCAGUCCAAGUCUUAAUGCAAAUGAUGAAAGUGUGGACAAUAAUGAAUAUGAGCAGAGCACAUUCAUAGAAAAUGAGUCAGAGUUUCAUCUAGCUGAGAAUAAGACUUUCACUUCCAGCCAUAGUGCUGAAGAGCCUUUGAAGAGCCCUGCUGCAGCAUCUCGGUGCAGAUCAACAAAGAACAUCAAGAUCAAGUCCAAGUUUACCUCGUUUUCUUGCCUAAAAGCCACCACUCGGACUAAGGUCUCUUCUCCAAAGUCAAAGGUAUCUUCUAAGUCAAGAGUAAAAGGUGGUAAAAAGGUAAAAACAGUUGGUGCCCAGAGACUGUAUGGCAGAAAGCAGUUCUGUGUUUACUGUAAAAGACCCGUCACCAAAAUAGCAAGGCACUUGGAAAUGAGACAUGCAAAAGAAAAGGACGUAGCACAUGCCCUCAGCUUUCCAAAAGGAUCCAAAACAAGACACCUCUUACUUCAACAGCUCCGCAAUAAAGGCAAUUACCAGCAUAACAUUAAAGUUCUUCAAAAUGGAAACGGGGAAAUAAUCCCACUGAAGCGAACAAAAAAGAACACUUCGUCAAAUGACUAUAAAUCUUGUCCUGAUUGCCUGGGUUUUUUUCUUAAGAGUGAGUCGUGUCGGCACCAGCGGUCAUGCAAAAUGAAGAAGGAUAAAAACUCUCACCGGAAAUGGACUCGGUCAGCUUCAAAUAAGACCUUUGCGUUACAUGACUGUCUUUCUGAGGCCUGCCGGGAUAUUGUCCGCUCUAUGAGAGAUGAUGACAUCUCGAAACAAUUGAGAAAUGAUGAAUUGAUCUGCAAAUUUGGCAACAGUCUUUGUGAAAAGCGUGUGAAUCUUAAGCCACAGCACAGUUACGUAUCACAAAAGAUGAGAGAACUAGGUAGAUUUAUGUUAGCUGUGAAGGAGCUGGAUCCGAGUGUUGAGCAUCUGCAUCAAGUAUGCACUGAAUCCAGGUUUGAUUUGGCUUUGGAGGCUGCAAAGAAGCUUGGGUGUUUUGAUCAGCACUCUAAUCAAUUCAAAACUUCAGCGAUUGCCUCGAAACUGGGUUAUUCCUUGAAACAGGCCACUGAAAUAGCAUUGGGAGAGAAUAUUAUGGGAGAUGAAGCUACAGCCCAAGCCAAAAAGUUCAUCGAGCUCCUUGAAACGGACUGGGUUACAUACAUAGCCUCGCAUUCUUGCAACGUACAAAGCCCUGUUAGACAGAGCCUGGAGGAUGUUGCAGCUCUUACGGACGAUGUCAUCAAAAUGCAGGACUUUCUUAGACGUGCUGAGGAGCAGGCCAAAAGGGAACUGAUGGAAAACCCUAAUCGCAAAGCAUGGAAGAAUCUGCGCAACAGUCUUCUUGGCACAGUUGCUCUGUUUAAUAGAGGACGGAAAAACGCAGUGGAUAAAAUGCUUCUCAAACACUACUUAGAGAGAACUAAAGAACCUUACAGUGGAGACAAGUGUGAGUUCCUAUCAAAGGUGCAGCAGAGUCUUAAUCAUAAGCUGAUCAAAAUUGAAAGCGUUUGUAAAGAUGGGAGUAUGUGUCCCGUUUUACUGACUGAAAGAAUGGAGUCAUCCUUGGACAUCCUGACUAAGUACCGUGAGCAUGUAGGUGUCCCUGCGGACAAUCAUUACAUGUUUGCUCGAAUGGAAGCUUCUACUCACGUAAGAGCCACUGACUUCCUGAAAGAUCUUGCCCAGAGUUGUGGUGCAGACAAGCCCGAAAGUUUUACUUCUAUACGUACACAUAAGUGUGUAGCCACUAUAUUCCAAAUACUAAGCCUUAAUGACAGUGAAAUGCACCAUGUAGCUGAGCUUGUGGGUGGUGGCAGCUUUAACUGGGAAAAACUGAAUGAAAAUCCCCUGCAGUUGGCAGAAAUCUGCAACCUGCUUCUUAAAAUGGACCAAGAAGCUGUUCCACACAGAGAAAAUUCUCAUGAGACAGGCAAAGUGACACCUUCAGCCAAAGAGACUGAUGAAGGUGCUCGUGCACCAAAAGACAAAAGAAGAAAAUGGAGUGUGGAUGAACAGGAAGCUGUGAGGAGGCACAUGGCAAAGUAUAUAUCCCUCAUGAAGGUACCAGGCAAAAAGGACUGUUUGGACUGUAUAAGGACUGAGCCAGAUGCUCUCAAGUCAAGAACAUGGAGGGAUGUCAAAUAUUAUGUUCAUAACGCUAUACAAGCGAGCAAAAAGAAAAAAUCAAAGCAGAUGGAAGCUGACAGUGAUGGAGAACAUCCUGGUGGAGGAGCCGAUGCGAUGGAUGCUGCUGCAGAUGGGUCUCGUCCUAAAAAAAGACGUGUGUGAAGACAUGCCUAGAUGCGUCUUUGCCAGAAUAUUUGGUUUUCUAGUUUUAAAAAAAAAAAAAAAGUUCCACUCUGAUUGUCAGGAACUAACAGGCAAACAAGAAGAACUUCACUACUUCUUUUAAUUUUUUCAGUUUGCUGUUUUUAGUGUAUCUGACAUUUUGUCUUUGCUACUCACAAACGUUAGUAGACCUCUAGUAGAUCUCUAGGUGUUGAAUAUCAUUAGUUGAAGAAGGUCAAGCAUUUAUUCUUGUUACAAAUCUGGCACGUGUUGUUGGAAAUGCCUGGAAAUGCCAGAUGUAGAGCCAGAAAACUGAUUUAUAAGUGAAAAGUUUUAAUAUUCUUACUUGUAUUGUUAAGCAUGUUAACGUACUACACUAAGAAAUGCUGUGUUUAUUUCCGGUUCUUAAUUUCAUUGUAUUACAUUUCACUUUAAGCACUUUAUUACUGUAACGAGGCCUAAGAAAGACCUGAUAUUGUACUGUAUUAUUUGUGUGAUGAUUUAGUAAAGUCAGCAUUACUUCAACGAUUCUUUAGUUUAAGAACUGAAUGUGCACGUUUUUCUUUCAUACUCACAUUGUUUACCUGUAAUUUCAUGGUCACUUCCCUCCUGUUUUACAAUACAUUCUCUACUGUAUCUUCAUUUUGUUGAACGUCUCUGAAAUUAGGUUGUAUUACUCUAUAGAGUAUCUCAGUGCUUCUCUUGUCUGUGUUUAGGUCACAGUUCAAUAAAAAUUGGGACCGUG